Betta splendens (Siamese fighting fish) is the source of this 2395-nucleotide long non-coding RNA. RefSeq lists it as uncharacterized. The record is from RefSeq and is a predicted model, not a curated record. Lineage: Eukaryota; Metazoa; Chordata; Actinopteri; Anabantiformes; Osphronemidae. The transcript has 3 exons.
CCUAGGGACAUUUCCUCAUUUCACCCUCCAGGAUCGAUUUCUUAUGUUUUGACUUUGCAGAAGUUGGAGGACUGAUGGAAUUGGAAAAGCCUGCGUGGACCCAGGGUGGAUCCUCUGUCACGGAGGCAAGGUCGCCCAUCAGCGCCGCUCUGAACGCCGACCUUGAUCUUUAUGUUAACUUAUAAAGGAUGGGCUUGUGCGGCUGCCGGGGAGCGAGGAGCUGCUGGAGGCUGUUACUGAGGCAACGCCGGGCCGUGACGCCGCUUUGGGCUGUGCUCUGUUCUGUGCAGUGUCUGCGGAAGCGUCCGAGGAGCUGCUCUCCCGCAUCCGCAGCCAUUGUUGUCGCCAAAAGGAUUCGUCAAACGAAGCCAAGGCCUUUUUAAAGACUGGGUUCAAGGGUCACGUCUGUCCACACGCUGAAAGCAGCGAGACGGUAUUUAAAUGCGAGCACACGCUAAGCUAAGCGCCCUCAUCUACUCUAUCCUGAAAAGGUUUGUUGUUUUUCUGGGGGGAAGUGGAGCAGCGGAGGCUUCCUGGUCUCGCUGAGCGCCGUCACACCCACUCCCCGAGACGUUCUGAACGCGAGUAAAGCGUGAAGGAAGCAAAACGACGACACCGCAGAGACUCCUCAGCAGAACGUCUCCCAGCGUUAACACAAAGUCAUCCCUCUCUCCACGUCUCCCUUCUCCUUCACUUUGCUUCCCAGAAAGACUCGCGUCAGUGUCUCACUGAAAAUAGCAGCUAAUUAGCCGACCUUUCCAUUAUGUGUGACACUUGCAUUUGUGACUUAUCUUUUAAGGUGAUUAAUUGGCGUAACAUUGGGAAUGACCUCCUCCGGAUCAGGCCGCAGGUUUGAUUCGUCUAGUUUUACCGGGGAUGUGGUAUAAUGGCUGUGAUUCACCACGACGCCGUGAUCAGAGAAGUUCAGACAAAUGUCACGGUCGCACGGGCAGCGCCGCAGAGAGAUGGAGUCAUGUGGAUCGGAUGCGCACAAACAAUGCAUCCUGCUCCCCGGCGAUGCUGGGCCGCUGCACAGACACGCGCUAGAUUGGAAAAGCUGAUUUAUCGGGUGUAAAAUGUUAAUUCUGCUAUAAGGCGCGCUCAUGAAUGGUUAACGGAGGCUGUGACAGAGUCGUCACCUGAAAUGUUAAUGAGGUGAGGCCGCGUCGGGGCCGAAAGGGUCUGAGAGCGACAGAUGAGCCGAGUCCACGAGACCCUCCCAUGCUAUAAAAAGCAGCCGCGGCGCCUGCUAAUGAACGGCGGUGAGUUCACUGUGGUGGUGAUGGAUUCAUAAAUACAGCGAGUUCUGUUUUUACCCUCAACCAGCCUAUAUCUGUACUGUCCUAGUGAUUGUGACUCAUCGCUGGUGGAUGGGGCGUCUAUUCUUAUCCUUACAUAUAAGGCAGAACUUUAUUCAUCCCGAGCUAAAAGUGGACGGACUACUGUGAACGGGCACAGAGUGUUCACAGUGGACCUGCCUGUGAUCUGUCUGUUCGCUCGUGCCCCGUGAGACAAAGUGCAGCUUUGUCCUGAUGCAGGUGUGUGUGAUGACGCUAACGAUGGCUGAACCAGGUCGUUAGUGAUCAAAUCCACCCGCUGCAAUUAUGUCAUUAUAAUCAAUAACGCUGAAGGGCGACUAUAUAUUUGUAUGUAUUAAUAUAAAACAAUAAAUAAUUUAUUUUUACACCUGCAGCCUCUGUCCCACUUUCCCAGUUAGCAGCUGUGCUCAGUUCUCUAAGUAGGCUACAACAAGGCUUUUCAAAGUAAAAGCUCAUUAUUCAGCCGCGCCACUUUGUUCUUCCACUUCCUGCUUCGUCCUCAGCUUCUCCACUGAUUUAAUGACUCUUUGCUCGUUGUCCACGUUCUGGUCAUCGUCAGCUUCAGCUCCGCUCACCAGGAUUCUACCACGUGUUUCUGACCACCGUCAGCUUAGGUGGUUCAGCCUCCACCAGAGUCCGUUUAGUCUCCGCUCACAUGAAGCUGCCUGUUCCACGUCGUGAACGUCUCGAGGGGUGCGAUCGUAGAAGUACUUCCCUCGUCACCUCCACCUCCUCGUGUGUUUCAGACGCCUGAGGGAACAAACAGUUCACCGUCUGCGUUUCUAGUCAAAAGUGUGAAGAAAGAAGUAACCCUGAGCUUGAAUAACAGAAUAACAGUCAUGCACCAAACACUGACGCACUCGCUCCAGUUUGACUUCACCUCCAGCUUUUUAAACGUGAAUACUUUGUGUUCAUUGCCAUUUAGACUCAAGAUGAUGAUGAUGAUGAUGAAGAUACCAACUUCAUUUGAUAAAUGUAAUUUCCUGGUUUGACUUUUCCCCCCAAUGACAGCAGAGCUCUUUAUGCUGUGAGUGACUGGGUGAUGUAAAUGUGACGGUGAUGUCCCAGCAGCCUCA